This 92-nucleotide transfer RNA is filed under the name Desulfobotulus alkaliphilus. RNAcentral describes it as "tRNA-Ser". It matches the Rfam family "tRNA". From Rfam's summary of the family: Transfer RNA (tRNA) molecules are approximately 80 nucleotides in length. Their secondary structure includes four short double-helical elements and three loops (D, anti-codon, and T loops). Lineage: Bacteria; Pseudomonadati; Thermodesulfobacteriota; Desulfobacteria; Desulfobacterales; Desulfobacteraceae. The record is from RNAcentral.
GGAGAGGUGACCGAGCUGGCUGAAGGUGCACGCCUGGAAAGCGUGUGUACGUCAAAAGCGUACCGGGGGUUCGAAUCCCCCCCUCUCCGCCA